This 301-nucleotide ribosomal RNA is filed under the name uncultured bacterium. Its description in RNAcentral is "partial 16S ribosomal RNA". It matches the Rfam family "Bacterial small subunit ribosomal RNA", at positions 509 to 807 of the family's 1533-position model. The record is from RNAcentral.
CAGUCGCCACGGUAAUACAGAGGGUGCAAGCGUUAAUCGGAAUUACUGGGCGUAAAGCGCGCGUAGGUGGUGGUUUAAGUCCGUUGUGAAAGCCCUGGGCUCAACCUGGGAAUUGCAGUGGAUACUGGGUCACUAGAGUGUGGUAGAGGAUAGUGGAAUUUCCGGUGUAGCAGUGAAAUGCGUAGAGAUCGGAAGGAACAUCUGUGGCGAAGGCGACUAUCUGGGCCAACACUGACACUGAGGCACGAAAGCGUGGGGAGCAAACAGGAUUAGAUACCCCAGUAGUCCCUGUCUCUUAUAC